GGUUCUAUGGUGUAGUGGUUAGCACUCUAGACUUUGAAUCCAACGACCUUGGUUCGAAUCCCGGUAGGAACU
Picea glauca (white spruce) is the source of this 72-nucleotide non-coding RNA. Lineage: Eukaryota; Viridiplantae; Streptophyta; Pinopsida; Pinales; Pinaceae. The record is from Rfam.